Molecule: long non-coding RNA, 718 nt
Filed under: Zea mays
Lineage: Eukaryota; Viridiplantae; Streptophyta; Magnoliopsida; Poales; Poaceae
Description: drought responsive lncRNA
Source: RNAcentral
AUCACACAUUAUAUACAUCAAAGUUUUCACUUAAGCUCUAAUAACUAUCUCGGCUAAGAGAUAAUCUACUGAUUUCUGUUAGUAUUCUAAACUCUGGCAAAGCUAAUGUUCCGGAAGCAUCGUGAUAUUUCCCUUCUGCGGGAAUGACCUCUUUCAAAAUGAAUGUGCACAGGUACUCAACUAUGCCAUACAAUGCACCUUCAGUUAAGUUCUCCGGGCUUUCUUGUUGAAAUUUCUGUAAAGAAAGUUUAUAAACAUCAUCUAUUUAUACUCAAUAAUAACACAUUUACAUCUUUAAUGACAUAAAUACAUACGUGACUAUUACUAAUAAUACCUUGCCAGAGUUCGUGAUGUAUCGUCCGUUCAUUCUCAUGAACUCGCACACGUAGAACCCACAUAGGACCGAUCCGGGUGGUUGCUUGUGGCACUACAUAACGGGAGAUUGGUUAUUUAGUUGCAAUAUUGUCCUAUGUACGUAUAUGUAUGAUAUAUAUUCAUAAAUUCACAUACUUACCGGCCAGUUAUAAUGGAUGUUAGUGGCACGCCUUUUUUGGACGUGUCGUACUUUCCACCUUGUAGCUUAUAAAACCUAAAUGUCAUGUGAUCUCAAAUAGAAUCACUAUGUUAUUCUACAAUUCUCAUCGAUAUAAGUAUGCAUGCAUAGAAAAGGCUUACAGCUCUAAGAUGCUGAGGAAUUUUGAAUAGGCCGAAAGCUCGG